This 4318-nucleotide long non-coding RNA is filed under the name Homo sapiens (human). Its description in RNAcentral is "non-protein coding lnc-KIAA0825-1:2". Lineage: Eukaryota; Metazoa; Chordata; Mammalia; Primates; Hominidae. The record is from RNAcentral.
AGUGACGCUCCGGAGCCGUCGCCAGGGUGGUAAUACCUGGUGCAGAGCUUGAGUCUGGCCAGCGGGUCAGGCUCUUGCUAGAUCAGCACCGGAGGUGGAAGACUGGUAAGUGAUUUUACUGGGUUUUCUCCUGCGCCUGAUAUUAAUGGCUGGCCGGGGCUCUGUGCAGCAUUAUGGCCAGCCCGAGAAGUGAGUGGGCGAGGGUGGAACCAGAAGGAGUCCCCAUCAAACCCCGUGGCGCUUGACACCCAGUGCAGCUGGAGAAGGCCCUGGGAUCCCGGCUUACCGUCUUAUCCACUCGCAAAAUCUGUCUCCGACUUGGAACUCGACCUCGGGUCACCAAGUGUCCCUGGGCGAGGCCGAAGACACCGUGUACCGUGACUCGGCGUUGUGCCGAGUUUCUCUACCAAUGAUCAACGAGUUUCCUAUCUCCCAUUGGCAGCGUUUGGCCACUCUUGAUUCCUGAGUACUGUUUCCGUAGUUCUGGGGUGCCGUGCCUGGAAGGCAGGAGGUUGGCUGAAGAAGACAUCUUUUACAAACAUUUAGGAAGUGAGAUGGGGAGGUUCCUUCCUGAUUUAGAAUUAAUUGAAGGUUCCUCCCGCCAUUUGAAUUGGAUGAGAAGAACGGUCUUUGUUUUCAUGGCUGAGACAUAAGAGAACAAGCUUGUAAUUUCAUGCUUGGGCAUUAGAUGCAUUUUUGGAAAGCAGUGAUCAGUAAGUAUGUGUGCUUUCAGAAAGGAAUGCUUGCGUUCUGCUCCAGGCUUUGUCGAUAAUGAAGGAUUCAGGAGAAUUUUGGAUGGAGGUCUGAGGUAGCCAGAAUAGUUGUAAAGAGAAAUUGCUUCCGACAAAGGGAUAAUGUGAGGAAAGGUGCUCAUUUAAGAUUUGAAAGAUGUGAUGUAGUGAACCUUGGCGACUUCUCUUAAGUAAUGCAAUUUCUUAGGUAACUAGUUUUCACUUGCCACCUUAUAUUUAGAUAAUUACCUCCCCACCAACCCCCGUAAAAGGCAGCUGACUGUUAUUUUUUCAAAACAGUCAGUUCCCGAAAGAGUUGUAGGUACUAUUGCAUUUUUUUUAUGGGUAUGCUCCUCAUACCCAUAAAAACAUUUUCUUUAUCGGAGCAUACCGAUAAAGAAAAAUGCAAUAUGUUCAAUUCAAGGCCCCUGUUAACACCAGGCCAGUGUCUUCUUAACCUUUUGAGAGUAAUGCAACAAACCAUAUUUAGGACAGCACAUUGAUUUUCUGGCCUUGUUGGUUAAUAAUUCAACAAACUUAUAAUCGCCCCAUUAAUCCCAAUCUUGACAUUUUGUUGAAUCUUGUAUUUUUUCUUUAUUUCUCCAGUUGAAAGUAUUAUAAAUUACUUCAGGGAUAUUAUGUAUUAUAUCUGUACAGCAACUAGUUUUUAGAGGCAGUGAUUUCUCUCUUUGAAUUGCUCUUGAAUGUAGCCAAUCAUUAAUACUUACCCCAAGUAGAUACUGUCUGCCAGGCACUUUACAUUUAUUAUUUUAUUUAAUGUUUAAUAAAAAAAGAAAAUCACAAAAAUUGUAUUAUUUCUAUUUUGCAAAACAUUUUAUACUGAGACCCAAAGAGGUUGUGAUUUUCCAUAAAUUAUACAAUUAAAUGGCACAAUUAAAAUUUGAAUCCAGUCUACCUGACUCUAAAUUUUGGCUCUUUUUACUGUGCUCUAUACCUUUAUAAGUAAACAUAACAGUAUCAUUAUUUUCACUCCAGGUAAAAAUGGAUAGAUAGUAUGUCACAUUUAGAAAUCAAGUGGAUAGCAAAACUUGAGGAUAAAAGGGACUUAAGGGAUGUGUUCAUCACCAUAAGGUAAUUUUGACAUCUAAAUAAUGCAGUUUCUUUAGUGCCUUUAUCCUUGGCCAGUUUUAUUAUCCUAAUUCAAACAAAUGCCUAUACUGUACAUUAGCAUAACACUUGGGGCAAAUGCAGAAGAUCUGGAGACCAUCAGCAAGCAUAUUGGUGACUGAGUCCAGAGUAUCAGCUAACUAUCUCUUUAGACAGCUUUUCACACACACAUUUGUAUACAUGUAUAUUUGUGUGUGCAUGUGUGUGUGUGUGUGUAGGGAGAAAGAAUGAGUAAAUGAGCACAAAUUCAUAAAAUUCAACUUUGUAAUGAUUUAUAAGGAAUUAUUAGCAAAACUGUGCUGUUCCACUCACGUAACCCUCAAACAGAUGGGGAUUAUCACAUAGUUUCAGGAAUAUGCUUUAUUAAACCUGCCCAUCCCAAUACCCAAUUCUAUAUAGAGAAACAGAAAUAGCCUAAUUUUCAGAGAAUUUACAAAAAUUUAGUUGAAAUGACCAAUACUAGAAAUGACAUAGAAGUUAAUUCUAAAGAAUAUCCUGUUUUACAACUGUAUAGGUAUAGCUAGCCUGAAAUACUAAUGUGUAUUUGAUUACAUUGCAUUGACUUGUAGGCAGAUCCCGUAGGCAGAUCUCAGGGAUAUUUUGCUAUCAAAUUUCAGUGCUUAUGAAGUUUGGGAUUAUGUCUGUUUUGUUCGUCAUCUCAAACCCAGCAUCUAGCACUGUGCCUGGCGUGUAAUAGAAGCUCAAUAAAUAAGUCAGGAACCAUGACUCAUGACUGUAACCCCAAUACUUUGGGAGGCUAAGGCAAGAGGAUUUGAAUCCAGAUCCUCUAAAUUUUGGCUCUUUUUACUAUGUUCUAUACUUCCUUUAAUAAAUAAACAUAGGUCACAGUGAACUAUGAUCAUACUACUGCACUCUAGCCUGCACAACAGAGUAAGACCCUGUCUCUAAAAAAUAAAAAAUAAGCAUUUAUUGAAUGAAUGAUUCCUUUUUAAAAUGUUAUUUAUCCACCGAGAAGUAUUUGUACAUUUUUUAAAGGAUUUACCACAUAAAUAAAUAUUUAUUUUUACUCACCUUGCCCCUGAAAUACAGUGUCCACUCCACACUCAUUCAUAAAAGGCAAUGUGCUGUCCUGCAAAGAAGACUGGACUGUGAGACAGGAGAUGAGAGAAUAUCUAAUAUUUUUCUGUGUUUAUUCUCUGCUAUUCAGUGUUAAAUUACUCCUUACAGCACAGUGGGUAAGUAUUAUUAUCCUCCUUUUACAGAUGCUAAAACUGAGGCAAAGAUAAGCUUUGUAAAUUGUCGUAGGUUACGCAUAGUCAUUAAACACAGCUAUGAUUUGAAUGAAGGGCUCUGAUCCCAAAAGCGAUAAUCUUAACCACUUUGCUAGCCUCCAGUUGAAUUUUUAAUCCUGGUUCAGCUGCUAAAUGUGUGCAAAAGCUCUGGGUAUCAUGUUUCUCAUCUAUAACAUAUAGGAGUUUGAUGGAUUAUAUUAUCUGUAAGGUCCCUCCUACCUCAAAAAUCCUCUGACUUUAGUUGACUCCUAAGUAUUAUCUGAAUAUAGCAGUUCUGGAGUGCCAGAAAACCCUCAUCAAUUUUGAUGUGUUUUAUGUAAGCUUUUAUAUGUGUUCACGUCUUCCACAUUGGUGGACACACAAUCAUGUUUUUGCAAUAGGAAGAAUAGAGUUAAAAAAAUCACAGCCAUGCUUUUUUUUUUUUUUUUACCAGCUAUGACACUAAUAAGUCACUGAACCUUUGUGAGCUUAUGUUUUCAUAUGUAAAAUGGAUCCAUAGGAUUGCUGUGAGCGUUAAGUGGGUUGACUUAUAAAGCCUCAAACGUGUUGUCUGAUACACAAUUGCUGAUAAAUAAAUAUUGAUUCUUUUUCUUGCUCAGUCUUGCAAGGAUAAAAGAUUAGUGGAUAUGAAAAAUGCUUUAUAAAUUAGACAAAGGUGAAGAAUAUUUUCACUUACAGUCUACUAGGAGAGAGAAAGUUAUAUAAACAAAUAAUUAUAUGUAGGGCAAUUUACAUACAUCAUUGAACACAAAACAUGGGAAUGCAAAGAAAAGAGAUUUUUUUUUUUCCAGGAGGGCAGAUGAGGAAAGACCUCAUAAAAAAGGUAAUAUUGAGUUUGUGCCAUAUAGGAUGGAAAGGAUUUUGGCAGGGGAACAAGAGGGACAAGUGUUCUACUGGAAGAUGCAAAGGUGUCAGAAAACAGAAAUAGUACCUAGGUCACUUUGGCUAUGUAAGAUGGAUGAAGGCUGGUAAUAAAGCUGAGGUAAAAAGCUGAGUUUAGGACAAGCUGUAGAUAACUGUGGGCAAGUUAGAGAUGUUAGGCUUUUAACGAUAAGCAAUAAUCUGUGUGUAUAACUAGGAUGGGGUGGAGGAUGGAGUUGGCAUUUGUUUUCUUUGUUAUGGAAAAACGCCCAUUUGUUACAGAAACAUUAGAGUGUACAAAUAUGCCAAAAAGGAAAGAGAAAGGAAGAGUGGCCCAUGACCCCA